GACGAACGCUGGCGGCGUGCUUAACACAUGCAAGUCGAACGGUGAACCCGGAGCUUGCUCCGGUGGAUUAGUGGCGAACGGGUGAGUAACACGUGAGUAACCUGCCCUUGACUCUGGGAUAACUGCGGGAAACUGUAGCUAAUACCGGAUACGACCCUCGGCGGCAUCGCCAGGGGGUGGAAAGAAUUUCGGUCAAGGAUGGACUCGCGGCCUAUCAGCUAGUUGGUGGGGUAACGGCUCACCAAGGCGACGACGGGUAGCCGGCGUGAGAGGGGGACCGGCCACACUGGGACUGAGACACGGCCCAGACUCCUACGGGAGGCAGCAGUGGGGAAUAUUGCACAAUGGGCGCAAGCCUGAUGCAGCAACGCCGCGUGAGGGAUGACGGCCUUCGGGUUGUAAACCUCUUUUAGUAGGGAAGAAGCGAAAGUGACGGUACCUGCAGAAAAAGCACCGGCUAACUACGUGCCAGCCGCCGCCGUAA
RNAcentral lists this ribosomal RNA (484 nucleotides) under uncultured bacterium. RNAcentral describes it as "partial 16S ribosomal RNA". It matches the Rfam family "Bacterial small subunit ribosomal RNA", at positions 28 to 523 of the family's 1533-position model. The record is from RNAcentral.